This 3224-nucleotide small RNA is filed under the name Rattus norvegicus (Norway rat). RNAcentral's name for it is "uncharacterized LOC102546835". Lineage: Eukaryota; Metazoa; Chordata; Mammalia; Rodentia; Muridae. The record is from RNAcentral.
UGCAGGCAAGAAGAUGGAACUGGAAAAUAUCAUCUGAAUGAGGACUGAAGUCAAGGACUGCUGUGGUUGAAUUAAGGAAAGGCUGGAAGAAGCUGAAGAGGUUGGCGACCCCAAAAGAAGACCAGAAGUCUCAACUCUCCCAGACUCCUGAGAUCUCUCAGACAUUGAGUCCCCAACCAGCAGCAUACAAGAACUGGUGGGAGGACCCUGACGCAUAUACAGCAGAGGACUGCCUGGUCUGGCCUCAGUGAGAGAAUCCUUGCCUAACCCUUUAGAGACUUGAGGACCCAGGAAGUGGGGAGACCUGGUCAGUGUCUUCGAGUAACUGUUGGUUGCCUUUGGUGGCCAGAUGAUGGUGUGAGAUCCCCUAAACUGGAUUUACUGACAUUUGUGAGUUGCCAUGUGGGUUCAGGAGAGUCAACCUGGUUUCUCUGGAAGAGGAGAUAGUCCUUUUUAUUACUGAGCCAUACCUCCGUUCCCUCUUUCAAAUUCUGUUUUUAAUUCUUCUCUCAUGUAUUACAGCCCAAAAAAGAGAUUUUUAUCUCUCCUCUCCUCAGGGUCAGUCUUCCCUACCUGUCUACUCCCCCCAAGACCUUUCCUGUAUUAUUGUCAUGUUUGUCUCUAAUGUAGUAUCUUGUUUGUUGAGUUUUGUUAUUUGGUUACACAGUCAUUGCUAAAAGAUUUGUCGUAAGAUUUAAAUUUGUGUUUUGUUUUUCAAACGAUUGUAAAGGAAAUUUAUUGUGUUUCCAAAAUAUUGUCAAUAUUAAAAUAUGAAAACUCUCUAUGUUUAUUUAGUGGUUCAGUGGUAGCUAUCAACACAGCAGAAUCCAAAAUCAGCUUGGAGGCAAGUCCUUCGGACAUCUCUGAGGGGUCAUCUUGUUGUUUGAAGAACCAUCUUAAUUGUAACUAAGAACAUCCCCUGGGUGGAAAAUCCUGUAUUGCAUAAAAUGAUGAAGGCAGGAGAAAUGACUUCAAUUCAACAUGAAAUUAAUCCCCCAGACCAUCAUUAGAGUGCAAAGGUGACCUGAGCAUCUGAGCCUUCAGGAAGACAUGCUUCAUGGAUCUCAAUUUGGAUUUCUGAACAGAGAAACAGGUAUCAUCAAUUACUGGUACUUGUAAUGCACAACAUUGCCAUGAAGAAAACGGAAUUAGCACAGAGCAUGCAGAGUACCUUCCAACUCCAUGAACAUUACAUGUGAAGCUUCAAGUUUGGUAUCUGCACAAUUUCUCAAUGGUUGAUGACAGAAGUAUCUCUGAUACGGAGUCUCAGUGUACUUUGUAGUGAGGUUGCAAAUUCAAGCACUAAUGCAAUGCUUCCUGUCAGCCUCCUGAGAAGAUCACACUGGAGACCACUACUCUGAUCUAUGAUAUAAACUGCAAGAACUUUCCUGAUGAGGAAUAGGACUCUGUGUUUAUACCCUUAACCAAUGCUGUAACUGUGAUCUAUGGCAAGGGAAGAACAAGAUCUCAGGACUGGUUCAUCACCUUACUAAGAUAUUCAAAAUUACAUAAUACUAGAAGAACUUUUUUUUCUUACAAUCUUAGAAUGUGGAGGGAAUCUUAUUUAACUAGUGUACAGUUGACAGAGGAUACCUAGGGAGUUUAUUCCCAUGCUGAGAUACCAAUUCCUUACUACUGUCCACAGCAUUCUUAGAUACUUCCUUUUCAAAGUGAGUCUAGCAGAGGCAAAAAGUUCGUAGUCGUUCAUACUGUAAUUUAGAAUUAUACAAAAAGUGUUUAUGCAUAGACAGUGGAUAGAAAGGCUCAAUUCUGCAACUCAUGUGUUAUCUUUGACUUUUUAAAAGGAGCUGUUCACUAGAGAGUAGCUGCAAGGAAUGGAAAAUUUGAUGAGCCACACUGAGGAAGACUGAGGAAGCGGAGAGCUGACAUCAAUUCACAUUAUGGUGUAAUCAUUUUUCUAUAAACGGAAAACCAGAAGUCUCAACUAUCCCGGACUCCUGAGAUCUCUUAGACAUUGAGCCCAACCAGCAUCAUAGAAGAAUUGGUGGGAGGACACUGACACAUAUACAACAGAGGACUUCCUGGGCUGGUCUCAGUCAAUGUCUUUGAAUAACUGUCCAUUGCAUUUGGUGGCCAGAUGAUGGUGUGAGAUCCCCUGAAACUGGAAUUAGUGAUAUUUGUGAGUUGCCUUGUGGGUUCAGGAGAGUUAACCUGGUUUCCCUGGAAGAUCAGACAGUCCUUUUUAUUACUGAGCCAUACCUCCAUUCCCUCUUCUUAAUUCUGUUUUUAAUUCUUCUCCCACGUAUUACAUCUCCAAAACAGAGCUUUUCAUCUCUCCUCUCCUCAGGGUCAGUCUUCCCCACCUGUAUCUCCCCCCAAGACCGUUCCUGUAUUAUUGUCAUGUGUCUCUAAUGUAGUAUCUUGUUUGUGGAGUUUUGUUAUUUGGUUACACUGUCAGUGCUAAAAAGAUUUGUUGUAAGAUUUAAAUUUGUGUUUUGUUUUUUAAAUAAUUUUAAAGGAAAUUUAUUGUGUUUGCAAAAUAUUGUCAAUAUUAAAAUAUGAACAUUCUCUAUGUUUAUUUUGUGGUUCAGUGGUAGCUAUCAACAUGGCAGAAUCUGAAAUCAACUUGGAGGCAAGUCCUUCGGACAUCUGUGAGGGGUCAUCUUGUUGUUUGAAGAACUAUCUUAAUUGUAGCUAAGAACAUCCCCUGGGUGGAAAAUCCUGUAUUGUAUAAAAUGAUGAAGGCAGGAGAAAUGGCUUCAAUUCAACAUGAAGUUAAUCCCCCAGACCAUCUUAAGAGUCCAAAGGUGACCUGACUAUCUGAGCCUUCAGGAAGACAUGCUUCAUGGAUCUUAAUUUGGAUUUCUGAACAGAGAAACAGGUCAUUGGUAGAUAAGUUAAACUUUCAAAAUCAGAGAGGAUCCUAUAAUUCUUAUCCAGUAUUGUAUAGGUAUCAAUUGCACAUAGCUUCUAAUUAGAGAUUUGUGAUGCUUCAGGGGAAAGGUUCGAUGAAGAAAUCUUACUCAGGACAAGUGCUCCAAAGUCUCUCACUGUCUACAAUAUCCAGUUGCAGUUCUCCAAGCUAGUUCCCAUCUACUAGAGGAAGAAGCUCCUCUGAUGUGAGUUAAGUAAUGCACUGGUCUAUGGAUAUAACUAUGUAAUUUUGAGUCACUUCAUUGUAAUGUGACAUUUGCAGAAUUAUACUGGUUUUCUACUAGACCCAUUUUUGGGUUCUUGAGCACAUUAACAGUGUCUUGUAUGAG